AAAACUGACGUCGCGCGUCGAGUAGGCAGUCGAUAAUGUCUCACCACGAGACAUUAUCUUACGGCGA
RNAcentral lists this small RNA (67 nucleotides) under Sinorhizobium meliloti 2011. RNAcentral's name for it is "putative ncRNA". Lineage: Bacteria; Pseudomonadati; Pseudomonadota; Alphaproteobacteria; Hyphomicrobiales; Rhizobiaceae. The record is from RNAcentral.